UCUAAAAUGGCAGAAAAGUGCAAUGGAUUUAAGCUCCAUACAUGAAGAUUAUAUCUUCUUUUAGAAA
This 67-nucleotide transfer RNA is filed under the name Gonodactylaceus randalli. Its description in RNAcentral is "tRNA-Leu". Lineage: Eukaryota; Metazoa; Arthropoda; Malacostraca; Stomatopoda; Gonodactylidae. The record is from RNAcentral.